Molecule: ribosomal RNA, 336 nt
Filed under: uncultured fungus
Lineage: Eukaryota; Fungi
Description: eukaryotic LSU rRNA
Rfam family: 5.8S ribosomal RNA (bases 1-71)
Source: RNAcentral
GUGAAUCAUCGAAUCUUUGAACGCAUCUUGCGCUUGCUGGUAUUCCGGCAAGCAUGCCUGUUUGAGUGUCAUGAAAAUUAUCAACCAUGACUUGGGUUUAGGCCCUUGUUCUUGGCUUGGAUUUGGGUGCUUGCGGUCUUGUGCUGCUCACCUUAAAAGGAUUAGCUGGACAUGUCUUUUGACUUGGUUCUACUUGGCGUAAUAAGUAUUUCGCUGAGGACAUCCCUUCUGGGGUGGCCAAGACUCUGGCAAACGUCUGCUUUCUAACUCGACUGUCCUAGGACAUCACUUUUUAUGAUCUGGCCUCAAAUCAGGUAGGACUACCGCUGAACUUAA